RNAcentral lists this transfer RNA (72 nucleotides) under Ethmidium maculatum (Pacific menhaden). RNAcentral describes it as "tRNA-Val". Lineage: Eukaryota; Metazoa; Chordata; Actinopteri; Clupeiformes; Clupeidae. The record is from RNAcentral.
CAGGGUGUGGCUGAGUCAGUUAAGCGACUCCCUUACACCGAGUACACAUCCAUGCAAAUUGGAUCACCCUGA